CCCGGUGUGUAGAUGUUUGAGCCA
Molecule: non-coding RNA, 24 nt
Filed under: Arabidopsis thaliana (thale cress)
Lineage: Eukaryota; Viridiplantae; Streptophyta; Magnoliopsida; Brassicales; Brassicaceae
Source: RNAcentral